AGAGUUUGAUCAUGGCUCAGAGCGAACGCUGGCGGCAGGCCUAAUACAUGCAAGUCGAACGGCUCUUCGGAGCAGUGGCGGACGGGUGAGUAACGCGUGGGAACGUGCCCUUUGGUUCGGAACAACACAGGGAAACUUGUGCUAAUACCGAAUGUGCCCUUCGGGGGAAAGAUUUAUCGCCAUUGGAGCGGCCCGCGUUGGAUUAGCUAGUUGGUGGGGUAAAGGCCCACCAAGGCUACGAUCCAUAGCUGGUCUGAGAGGAUGAUCAGCCACACUGGGACUGAGACACGGCCCAGACUCCUACGGGAGGCAGCAGUAGGGAAUCUUGCGCAAUGGGCGAAAGCCUGACGCAGCCAUGCCGCGUGAAUGAUGAAGGUCUUAGGAUUGUAAAAUUCUUUCACCGGGGAAGAUAAUGACGGUACCCGGAGAAGAAGCCCCGGCUAACUUCGUGCCAGCAGCCGCGGUAAUACGAAGGGGGCUAGCGUUGCUCGGAAUUACUGGGCGUAAAGGGCGCGUAGGCGGACAUUUAAGUCAGAGGUGAAAGCCCAGGGCUCAACCUUGGAAUUGCCUUUGAUACUGGAUGUCUUGAGUUCGGGAGAGGUGAGUGGAAUGCCGAGUGUAGAGGUGAAAUUCGUAGAUAUUCGGCGGAACACCAGUGGCGAAGGCGACUCACUGGCCCGAUACUGACGCUGAGGCGCGAAAGCGUGGGGAGCAAACAGGAUUAGAUACCCCGGUAGUCCAA
RNAcentral lists this ribosomal RNA (742 nucleotides) under uncultured bacterium. RNAcentral describes it as "bacterial SSU rRNA". It matches the Rfam family "Bacterial small subunit ribosomal RNA", at positions 8 to 798 of the family's 1533-position model. The record is from RNAcentral.